RNAcentral lists this ribosomal RNA (301 nucleotides) under uncultured bacterium. RNAcentral describes it as "partial 16S ribosomal RNA". It matches the Rfam family "Bacterial small subunit ribosomal RNA", at positions 509 to 807 of the family's 1533-position model. The record is from RNAcentral.
CAGUAGCCGCGGGAAAACAGAGGGUGCGAGCGUUAAUCGGAUUUACUGGGCGUAAAGCGUGCGUAGGCGGCUUUUUAAGUCGGAUGUGAAAUCCCUGAGCUUAACUUAGGAAUUGCAUUCGAUACUGGGAAGCUAGAGUAUGGGAGAGGAUGGUAGAAUUCCAGGUGUAGCGGUGAAAUGCGUAGAGAUCUGGAGGAAUACCGAUGGCGAAGGCAGCCAUCUGGCCUAAUACUGACGCUGAGGUACGAAAGCAUGGGGAGCAAACAGGAUUAGAUACCCCCGUAGUCCCUGUCUCUUAUAC